Molecule: ribosomal RNA, 1658 nt
Filed under: human oral metagenome
Description: bacterial LSU rRNA
Rfam family: Bacterial large subunit ribosomal RNA
Source: RNAcentral
UGAGGGUAGGGGUGAAAGGCUAAUCAAACUUGGAGAUAGCUCGUACUCCCCGAAAUGCAUUUAGGUGCAGCGUGCAAAAAGUUUAACAGAGGUAGAGCGACUGAUUGGAUGCGAGGCUUUCACCGGCUAUCAAGUUCAGACAAACUCCGAAUGCUGUUAAAUGUUUUUGUGCAGUGAGGGCACGGGUGCUAAGGUCCGUGUCCGAGAGGAGAAGAAUCCAGACCAUCAGCUAAGGUCCCGAAAUAAUAGCUAAGUUGAACUAACGAAGUCGAACUGCAUAGACAGCUAGGAUGUUGGCUUGGAAGCAGCCAUUCAUUUAAAGAGUGCGUAACAGCUCACUAGUCGAGCGGUUUGGCGUGGAUAAUAAUCGGGCAUAAGCUAUUUACCGAAGCUGUGGAAUAUAAUAUAUUGGUAGGGGGGCAUUCCAUAUUCGUUGAAGAUAUAGGGUUACCUUUAUUGGAGGGUAUGGAAAAGCAAAUGUAGGUAUAAGUAACGAUAAGGAGGGCGCGAACCCCUCCCGCCGGAAGACUGAGGAUUCCUGAACAACGUUAAUCGGUUCAGGGUUAGUCGGGACCUAAGGAGAAGCCGAACGGCGCAUCUGAUGGAAGAACAGGUUAAUAAUCCUGUACUGGCGUAUGGAGCGAAGUGGGGACGGAGAAGUGAAAGUCCUGCGUACUGACGGAAUAGUACGUUGAAGGGUGUAGGUGUAGAUAUUCGUAGGCAAAUCCGCGUAUAGAGCCGAACCUGAAAGUACCGAGCGUCUUCGGACAAUCGGAUAUGGAUGUAAUCAGACUCCCUAGAAAAACCGCUAAGCAUAUUCAUACGGCACCCGUACCAUAAACGGACACACGUGGUCAAGUAUAAAGUAUUAAGGCGCUCGAGUGAUCCGCGGCUAAGGAACUAGGCAAAAUAGUCCUGUAACUUCGGAAAAAGGGACACCUACCCAGUGAUGGGAGGUCGCAGAAGAAUGGCCCAGGCGACUGUUUAACAAAAACAUAGGGCUUUGCCAAAUCGCAAGAUGAAGUAUAAGGCCUGACACCUGCCCGGUGCUGGAAGGUUAAGAGGAGAUGUCAUCGCAAGAGAAGCAUUGAAUUGAAGCCCCAGUAAACGGCGGCCGUAACUAUAACGGUCCUAAGGUAGCGAAAUUCCUUGUCGGGUAAGUUCCGACCUGCACGAAUGGUGUAACGAUCUGGGCACUGUCUCAGCCGCGAGCUCGGUGAAAUUGUAGUAUCGGUGAAGAUGCCGAUUACCCGCAACGGGACGAAAAGACCCCGUGAACCUUUACUGCAACUUAACAUUGAAUUUGGGUAAUUGAUGUGUAGGAUAGGCCGGAGGCUAAGAAGCAGGUACGCCAGUAUUUGUGGAGCCGUUGUUGAAAUACGGUCCUUCAGUUAUUUGAGUUCUAACCCGUAGAAAUGGGGACACUGUUUGGUGGGUAGUUUGACUGGGGUGGUCGCCUCCAAAAGAGUAACGGAGGCUUCCAAAGGUACCCUCAGGCCGAUUGGUAACCGGUCGCAGAGUGUAAUGGUAUAAGGGUGCUUGACUGCGAGACAAACAAGUCGAACAGGUAGGAAACUAGGGCAUAGUGAUCCGGUGGUUCCGCAUGGAAGGGCCAUCGCUCAAAGGAUAAAAGGUACUCCGGGGAUAACAGGCUGAUC